This is a long non-coding RNA of Empidonax traillii (willow flycatcher), 491 nucleotides long. RefSeq lists it as uncharacterized. The transcript is spliced from 3 exons. Lineage: Eukaryota; Metazoa; Chordata; Aves; Passeriformes; Tyrannidae. The record is from RefSeq and is a predicted model, not a curated record.
AUGGGCAGGGACCCAUUCCAAUAGACCUGGUUUGUCAUUCCUGCACUGAGGACCCUAGAGAUGGAUGCAGUAUUCUAGGUGGGAUUUUGUGACAGUGGAAUAGAGGGGCAGAAUCACUUCCCCUGACCUGCUGGACACACUUCUUACUUCAGUGUAGCGAUUUACAGAAUGCAGAUGUCUUUCAUCGAACAGUAAGGUAAAAACAUCAAGGUAAAAGCUCUCUUUUUUUUCUUAAAUAAGGAAAACAUAUCAAACCUGAGUCAUUCAUACUAGGAACAGUUCUGGACUACCAGCCAGCAUACCUACAUAGGACACUACAUCAGAAAUAAAUUCAAUACAAGAUCAGAUUCUUUUGAGGCACACAAUAAAGCAGGUGUCCUAGUGAAAGGACAAACUUCACUUGGAUAAAUUUGUUUUUCUGGCAAAAGUAUGAAGUACUUGUAUAGGAUCUAAAAUAUCUAGGUAGAUCCAGCAUGUAUUAUUACUUCAGC